GCUGUGGCCUAGUGUUUGAUAAUUACAUUGUGUGUGGUGGUGGGUCCACUGCAGAGACAGAGAUGUUUUGAUGUUAUGAGCAUCAGUUUCUGCUCUCAGCUUUCAUGUUAGCAGAGUUUAACCAGUAUAAAACCUGUUAGAGGAUCAUCAAUUGGGUUUGCCUUAGUUUGACUUUGUUCUGUUGUAAGUCUGAGCUGAUAUUUUUUCUUUAACGUUGGGGUCUGAAGAAAAAACAGUAUGUGUAGAAGUGUGUUUCGGUUUGCACCACUUCUGUUUCUGUUGGGGAUGUACACCGCCAGUGAAGUGACCCUACUGAAAACAUUGGAGAUCGGAGGAACAGAUGUCACUCACAUUUGCCAAAAUCAUACAAUGUCUGAUAUGUUGUUGAUAACAUGUAAAAGAAAUGGGGAGCACAAGUGUCACAUCUCAUUACGGUUUGACAAAAAUUAUACAAAUAGCACUUGUGACUCCAGGGUCAAUCUACAGAAUGAUGGUGGCAGAGUGUUUCUACACAUCACUAACAUACAACCAUCAGAUGAAGGGUUUUACAACUACUAUCACAGUCUUUACCCCACUCAGACGAUAACAGGCAUCACAGUAUUUAUAGCUGUAGUGAUCUUCACUGCCAUAAUCAUGAGGAAAGUUCAACUCAGGAGGGGAACUCAGACAAAGCUGCUUUACCCCUCCAACGAGACAAAGGUGGAGGAGCAGCAACCAGACAUCGAGCCCUACGACACAUUCAUGAAGAGAGACAACACGGUUUACUCAACCCUUCAGCAGCCAGAUCCUAACCCCUGACCCUGACUUACUGGCACUGUUGACCAAUGACAACAUGCUAAAGCAUGUAGUGGGUUGAAUGUUAUUUCACCAGCCCUGGAAAUGCCUGCAGCCAUACAUUAUAGAUGUAGUUGUUUUGUUCAACACUAGAACCGCCACGGGGUAAAUUAUACUUGUGAAUUUUCUUUGUACAUAACUAAGUUUGAAUAAAAUAUUGAGGUCUUCCAGCCUUUGACUUUUACUAAAAAAUAUGGGCAUUUAUACCUAUAACCGCCACAGGGUAAAUUUUACCCGUAUA
Molecule: long non-coding RNA, 1075 nt
Organism: Esox lucius (northern pike)
Lineage: Eukaryota; Metazoa; Chordata; Actinopteri; Esociformes; Esocidae
Source: Ensembl